GAGGGUAUAGCUCAACUGGUAGAGUGUGUGCUUAGCAUGCACAAGGUCCUGGGUUCCAUCCCCAGUACCUCCU
Molecule: transfer RNA, 73 nt
Filed under: Camelus bactrianus (Bactrian camel)
Lineage: Eukaryota; Metazoa; Chordata; Mammalia; Artiodactyla; Camelidae
Also listed under: 2 other names
Rfam family: tRNA
About the family: Transfer RNA (tRNA) molecules are approximately 80 nucleotides in length. Their secondary structure includes four short double-helical elements and three loops (D, anti-codon, and T loops).
Source: Rfam by way of RNAcentral